This 248-nucleotide unclassified non-coding RNA is filed under the name plant metagenome. Its description in RNAcentral is "partial contains small subunit ribosomal RNA, internal transcribed spacer 1, and 5.8S ribosomal RNA". The record is from RNAcentral.
UUUCCGUAGGUGAACCUGCGGAAGGAUCAUUAAUGUAACCGGACCGUUCCUUUGCCGUAAAACGCACUGGAUUGGGAAGGGAGAUAUCAUACACCCUAUGUUUAUUUACUCUUGUUGCUUUGGUGGGCCGUCCUUUACGGCGUCGGCCUCGGCUGAUCGCGCCCGCCAGAGGACUCAAACUCUUUUAUUAGUGAUGUCUGAGUACUAUAUAAUAGUUAAAACUUUCAACAACGGAUCUCUUGGUUCUG